UGAGAAUUAGGAAGUCUAAGGGUGGUUUUAUGAAGAAUCUGUACAGACUAAGGACCCCACGAGGACAAUAGCUUGAAAGUCUAAAUAAGUUGAAUGUGUCUGGAUGCAUCAGCUUAGCUAUGAGCAAGCAUGGGAGUUGAAUGUGUUUGAAAGUCUUUCAGUUGUCUCAGUACUAACAGCCUGUGUCUUCUAGGCCCACCCGGGCUGCCAGCUGCAUGGAGCAGAGUGGAACUCAACCCCUUGAGGUCUCUGUUCCUUCCAGAUCCUAGCCCCGUCUCUGCAAAGGCUUGCUCUUCAAGUGUUUUGUCAUCCUUAAGGCUCAGUAGAUGGCUUUAAUGUUUAUUGCUCACUAGUGAUAUGUGGCUGGCUUUGAGCAGCCAAAGUCUAACUGCUUGUGUGACUCUGCACAUCCCUACCAAAGGAAAGUGUAAAUUAACUAAAGGCUUGAUUAAUUCUCCUUCCCUCCCAUGCUGCCUUUUUUAGUGGCCUGGCCCCUAUCCAAGUCCUGGGGGGCAGCUGACUGCCAAAGCCAGAUCCCCAGGUACUAAAGAAUGUGAGACAAAUUCAGUGUCCAAAUUAUUUCAUUGUAAAAGUAAGUCAGAAACAGGCUUCUGGGGCUGAUUGACAUGUUGUCAUUUGAACUUGACCAGUACUGAAAGUUCUUGUUGUGCACGGUGACCAGUGCUCACCUCUGAAACCACACAGACAUUUAUCUCUCAGAUGGGAGAUUUACCCCAAAAUAUUGAACUGAUCUUUUUUGUUUUGUUUUGUUUUGUUUUUUAAGCAAUAAAAGUGAAAUAUCUUUGAAGUAACAGGACAACAAAUGCAAUCACACAGCUCCACAUGAAGAACAAAGUAGAAACACCACUCUGCCUGGAUGCCUAAUAACUCCCCCCAAAGCCUGUGUGCAGCUUGGCAGGAGAGUAUGUACAAAGCCACUGUGAGGUCCUGGCCUUAGUCCUCAUCUUAAAGGAUACCAUCUCCAGAAAAAAACCAGUCUCCUGAAACCUGAAGUCUCAGCCGGUCUUGAGAGCCUGACCCUGAAGCUUGGGUACUUCCCUCACCAGCUCCAACUAGCCACUGCUUAAAGUUUGGCUUUUUACAUUCAGCAAGCCAGUAUGUAUAUUUUAGCACAGUACCCCUGAAGCUAAGGCUGCAAUGCAUUUCACAUUUUUCUAAGCUAAAGCAAUAAUCCAUUUCAUGUUUUUCUAAGCUAAAGCAGUAAUCCAUUUCACGUUUUUUCUGUAUGCAUCAAAACCACUUAGCAGAACGGUGAAG
RNAcentral lists this long non-coding RNA (1278 nucleotides) under Cricetulus griseus (Chinese hamster). RNAcentral describes it as "lncRNA (ENSCGRG00015029174.1)". Lineage: Eukaryota; Metazoa; Chordata; Mammalia; Rodentia; Cricetidae. The record is from RNAcentral.